GUCACCCUGAGGUGCCUGCCAAGAAGCCCAUUUAUCCCUGGUUUGUUCCUGCAGAAAGAAACCUGGGGACAUGCAGUCGCCCACACCUGAGGAAAAUAGAGGCUGACCUAAAAGCCCUAAACAUUUUAAUUUGCAAAACCAUUGUUGUAUUAAAUCACAAAUGGGAGGCAAUUUAGCAAUGCAUCUCCAAAAUUGCACCAGGCUCUGGCUGUGACUUUGCAAUUUAUGUUGAAAAUGAACAUUGAACUCUGUGGCAUAAAAAACAGAUUGUUGAUUUUGUGAUUAAUUUGGUCUCUAAGGCCAAGGAAACUGUUGAUGCUGUAUAUCAGUUAUAAAGUUGUGGUAGAAUUUGUGGAGCAAAAUGAAAAAUCAAUAUCGUAACUACAGGAUAGCUCUCUUAAAAUCCAAGGUGCGUUUUGUUGCAAAUUGCAUGGAAGAAACUGACCCCCAAAGGGACAAACCUACCUUCAUUUUUUUUCACAAGUGUAUAUCUAGGGUAUAGAGGUAGAGGGAAAUGUUGGGUGUUAUUACAGUGUUGCUGGGGGUACUAGGGGAAAGAUCAAAUUGUUGCAAUUUAGAGUAAAACCUCACUUACAGUUAUGUGUGUCCCGAGGCAACCUCAAGGAGUGAUCUCUCUCAGAUGGCUGUGCACUCAAAAGCCAGGAUGCCUGGGUCACGCUCCUGCCUCCGCUAAUCUGCAGACUGGUGGCGUAUUCAUCACUUCCUCUUCCCGCCAGAGCUUCACCCAGAGCCGCAGCCCUGCUCUGCCCCUCUAAAACCCUGUGGGUCAGCCUCAGUGCCUCAGCUAUCCGCAUUGUCCUGCUGCAGAGGGGACAACACCUUCCCACGGCCACUUCCCAGGCCCUCUCUUAUUUGUGGAAGAAUUUCAGAGUGUUUUGCUGACUCCAAGAAGAUCAAACAACAGGAAGACAGGGGUGUUUCCCUCAGCGUGGACAAAGGACUUAGUCUUUUACCUUAGAAUUUCUGUUUUCUCUGAUGUCUCAGAGAAAUAUACUCCCAUACUUUUGUUGUUUGCCUGUUUCCAACUGUGGUGGGACUGUCUCAGCACACUCAUCUGUAAAUUGAAAAUAAACGACAACAAAGAAAAUUGCCUUUCUGAUAAA
Long non-coding RNA from Mesocricetus auratus (golden hamster), 1124 nucleotides. RefSeq lists it as uncharacterized. NCBI's taxonomy places the organism in Eukaryota, Metazoa, Chordata, Mammalia, Rodentia, Cricetidae. The transcript has 2 exons. The record is from RefSeq and is a predicted model, not a curated record.